GCCUCUGUAGCUUAAUGGAUAAAGCAGUGGUCUUCGGAACCACAGAUGGAGGUUCGAUUCCUCCCAGAGGCU
RNAcentral lists this transfer RNA (72 nucleotides) under Pseudomonadota bacterium. RNAcentral describes it as "tRNA-Arg". It matches the Rfam family "tRNA". Rfam says of the family: Transfer RNA (tRNA) molecules are approximately 80 nucleotides in length. Their secondary structure includes four short double-helical elements and three loops (D, anti-codon, and T loops). RNAcentral also lists the same sequence under 1 other name. The record is from RNAcentral. Lineage: Bacteria; Pseudomonadati; Pseudomonadota.